GUCGCAACAGUCAAACUGGAAAAGCAAAGGACUGAAAAUCCUCGGGUCACCAGUUC
This 56-nucleotide transfer RNA is filed under the name Impatiens viscosa. Its description in RNAcentral is "partial tRNA-Phe". Lineage: Eukaryota; Viridiplantae; Streptophyta; Magnoliopsida; Ericales; Balsaminaceae. The record is from RNAcentral.